GAUGAAGAACGUAGCGAAAUGCGAUAAGUAGUGUGAAUUGCAGAUUUCAGUGAAUCAUCGAAUCUUUGAACGCACAUUGCGCCCUUUGGUAUUCCUUAGGGCAUGCCUGUUCGAGCGUCAUUUAAACCUUCAAGCUCAGCUUGGUGAUGGGUGACUGUCCGCUGCCUCCCCCCGGGGUGCGCCGCGGACUCGCCUCAAAACGAUUGGCGGCCGGUACGUUGGCUUCGAGCGCAGCAGAAACGCGUAACUCGAGUUCCCCGUGGCGGCUCCCAGAAGCAACCUUAUUAUUUUGACCUCGGAUCAGGUAGGGAUACCCGCUGAACUUAAGCAUAUCAAUAAGCGGAGGA
Molecule: unclassified non-coding RNA, 347 nt
Filed under: soil metagenome
Description: partial contains 5.8S ribosomal RNA, internal transcribed spacer 2, and large subunit ribosomal RNA
Rfam family: 5.8S ribosomal RNA (bases 1-120)
Source: RNAcentral